GAACGCACCUUGCACCCUUUGGCAUUCCGAAGGGUAUGCUCGUUUGAGUGUCAUUGUACUCUCACUCUCCCGAUACUUUUGGAUCGGGAGUGGUGGACUUGGGUGCUGCUGCUUAACUGUGGCUCGCCUCAAAUGGAGUAGUGCAACUCUCGGUUGGACAUAGUACGGCGUGAUAAGUGUCUUCGCCGGCGCCUCUACUCGUUAGAGGGUGGCCGAUCGGGAGCUCUGUGCUUCAAACCGUCUUCGGACAAUCUCUGACAACUUGACCUCAAAUCGAGUAGGACUACCCGCUGAACUUAAG
Molecule: unclassified non-coding RNA, 301 nt
Filed under: uncultured fungus
Lineage: Eukaryota; Fungi
Description: sequence contains 5.8S rRNA gene
Source: RNAcentral